This 468-nucleotide ribosomal RNA is filed under the name uncultured bacterium. RNAcentral's name for it is "partial 16S ribosomal RNA". It matches the Rfam family "Bacterial small subunit ribosomal RNA", at positions 28 to 507 of the family's 1533-position model. The record is from RNAcentral.
GACGAACGCUGGCGGCGUGCUUAACACAUGCAAGUCGAACGGAAAGGCCCUGCUUUUGUGGGGUGCUCGAGUGGCGAACGGGUGAGUAACACGUGAGUAACCUGCCCUUGACUUUGGGAUAACUUCAGGAAACUGGGGCUAAUACCGGAUAGGAGCUCCUGCUGCAUGUUGGGGGUUGGAAAGAUUCGGCGGUUGGGGAUGGACUCGCGGCUUAUCAGCUUGUUGGUGGGGUAGUGGCUUACCAAGGCUUUGACGGGUAGCCGGCCUGAGAGGGUGACCGGCCACAUUGGGACUGAGAUACGGCCCAGACUCCUACGGGAGGCAGCAGUGGGGAAUAUUGCACAAUGGGCGGAAGCCUGAUGCAGCAACGCCGCGUGCGGGAUGACGGCCUUCGGGUUGUAAACCGCUUUCGCCUGUGACGAAGCGUGAGUGACGGUAAUGGGUAAAGAAGCACCGGCUAACUACGUG